AGGAAACCCUCUAAGGAGACCAGACUGAACUUUAAUCGAGGAGUUGCAAUAAUCAGGCCAAGCUGAGGCUGCGCCUCGUCUCCCCUGGACUUUCUGCCCCUGAGCCCCACAUCUGAGUCUGUAGGGCUGCCGCACAGGAGCAUGUGAGUUACUCAGUGUAACUGUGUGACUGGCAGCCUGGGACACGGUUGCUGUCAGAGUCUGCUGUUUGCCACUUAAUGGCUCUGCAGUCCUGGGCAACACACUUAGACACCCAGGUCUCAGGUGCUACCUUGUAAAGCAGAGAUAAGUAUAUCUACUUUGUCAAGAUGAAACAUAAUGCAUUUUUGCAGUAUAAUACGCUCCCGAUAAUGUAAGCUGUCUUUUUUCUUCUCCCUCCUUUUUCUUUAGAUGUGUUAGGAAGAUAUUUUUUAGGAACAGAGAGCCAAGGGAACAGAGAAUGAAAAGAUUCCGAACAGCUGAGGGAGCCUCGCAGGCGGUGAUAGAUAGAUGAGCAGACAGGAGUUUUAAGACAUUCUUUGGAUUUGCCGUAUUUCGUGCAGUUUUUGGCAGAUGCCCCACCCCUGGGGUUAAGACUGAAGUUGGAGGUUUUUUGGGGCCUGACAUUGGGCUGGGAUUGGCCACAAGGAAGGGCUGCAUCCUGGGCACUAUCUACCUGGAGGAAGAGGUUUGGGGACAUGGUGGCUGCCACCCACGUUCUCAAGGCUGUCACUGGACAAGCAGUCCUCUUCGGGCUGACGUGGCUGAGGCACAGGUCUGUCCUCACAACACUGCUGUGGGUCCGGACCGCUGGCUGCAGGCGGAGGUCCUCCGUCUAUCUCAAGGAUUUGCUCUGGGGGUCGGGUGAGGACCCUCGCUGUCCCUCCCAGACCCUCCGUGCCAACUGCCCUGCUCUCCAGCAGGAGCCCUGUGCUCCACCAAGGCGCCGUCCUGCUGCUCCACUGCCACCCUCUGAACAGAAAGGCUCCCAGGUGUGAGCAGAUCCAAGGCAGCAGUGCAGUCUCCAGAGCCAAUGAUGGAGGCCACUCGCUCCCGUUUUCUUUUUCACGGGGCUGGAGUUACAGCAGUGUGGGGUUCCAUGCAGCAGCCAUAGUUCCCAGGGAAGCAGAAUGGGCUGGCAGCUUCCCAGGUCCCACAGCACGGGGCACAUAAACCCCUUCCCCGGGGCCUGGCCGAUGCCCUUGUGCCCAGGGGAAGCCGCCUUCUCUUCAGUCACCGGGGACUUCCUGCUGCAGUCCCAGGCAGUGCUGGUGACCAUGCCCAGUUGCCUGAGGGAGGACAGGCUAUGGCCACGAGGCCAGGACAGGAGAAGGCCGCACAGAGGAGGCCGGAAAGGCCCGGGGCAAGGCCGGCCCUCCGUCGACCAGGCCCACGCCCAGGGGAGAGCCAGCCGCAGCUCUGACAGCUUUAUCUUUCCUGGUUUGUCAGACUGGAACCAAGGCCUGCUGAUGCCUCCGUGAAGGAACUUUAAAAAAAUAUUGCUGCAUUUGGUCAUCCUCAGAUAAGUGGCUCAACUCAUCUGGAACAAUCAUCAGCAAUCUGAGUGUCAUUAUCAAGAAGUUGUCUUCUUUGUCCAAGAAUGAUCAUUUUUCCUCUGAAGAGCCUCCACAUAUCCUGCAGCACCUUCCCAUGCGACUUCCAUCUGCAGCACUGCUGGGAAGCCCAGCCAGGGGUCCAGCAGGGCUGUGACAACCCUUGAGCAACCAGGCAACACGCUGGCCAUGCUGUGCUCUGUGCAGUGCCCUUCAGCCAUGCAUCAGUCUACUCGGCUUCUGUAAAAUCAGAAUCAAUGAAAUAUCCUGGACUUUUGGUACGGCAAAUGAAAUUGUCCAAAAGAGGCCCUGGGAAUUCUCUCCGAGUUGUGGGAUGAAAGAGAAUGAGGCCCAGGGUGGCUCCCAGGUCAGGAGGCGACACCUGCAUCCUUCCCCGUGGUCUCCAGAGAAUUCAGGUCACACUGCCACGUGUGACUCUGAGGGAUCCACUUCCUGCUACCACCAUGGCUCACGGAGGAGCCUGUCUGUCUCUGGGCAAAGAAGGCCCUAGCAGGAACAUGCAGGGCUAUCCAGCACCCAAGGGUGGGAGAGAAGAGAAACACACGCUCUUUUCUUGCUGACCCUUUCUUUGUAACUCUCAAGAGCCCUGUCUGAAACCAUAACCAGUGGGGUGAGCUUCUACCCGGUCGGUCUGCGUUGCCCGAUGGAUUUGCAGAGUCCGCUGGGUACUUAUUUUGAGUCACUUGUCUUUGUCGGGAUGCUGUGGCCGCCUGCUGCCUCGUGCCCCCUCCCUCUGCACAUCCCCCUCCUCAGCCACUGGGAAACCCGUUGUCCUUCAGGAUCUCCCUGUGCACUAU
Long non-coding RNA from Heterocephalus glaber (naked mole-rat), 2350 nucleotides. The record is from Ensembl. Lineage: Eukaryota; Metazoa; Chordata; Mammalia; Rodentia; Bathyergidae.